This 309-nucleotide ribosomal RNA is filed under the name uncultured eukaryote. RNAcentral describes it as "partial 18S ribosomal RNA". It matches the Rfam family "Eukaryotic small subunit ribosomal RNA", at positions 1470 to 1796 of the family's 1831-position model. The record is from RNAcentral.
CCCUUAGAUGUUCUGGGCGGCCCGCGCACUACAUUGGCACUGGCAACAAGAUCCUAGAUCUGAUAUUUCGGGGUAUUCUACCAACUGGUGUCGUGACUGGGAUUAACCCCUGCAAUUAUUGGUUAUGAACGAGGAAUUCCUUGUAAUCACGGUUUAUCAACCCGUGUUGAAUGCGUCCCUGCCCUUUGUACACACCGCCCGUCGCUCCUACCGAUGAAUCGUCCGGUGAAGUUCAUGGAGUCGCUGCUGCUCCAGCGGUUUUCGAAGUGAAAUGGACCUCAUGAUUUAGAGGAAGGAGAAGUCGUAACA